This 490-nucleotide ribosomal RNA is filed under the name uncultured bacterium. RNAcentral describes it as "partial 16S ribosomal RNA". It matches the Rfam family "Bacterial small subunit ribosomal RNA", at positions 30 to 507 of the family's 1533-position model. The record is from RNAcentral.
AUUGAACGCUGGCGGCAGGCCUAACACAUGCAAGUCGAACGGUAACAGGAAGAAGCUUGCUUCUUUGCUGACGAGUGGCGGACGGGUGAGUAAUGUCUGGGAAACUGCCUGAUGGAGGGGGAUAACUACUGGAAACGGUAGCUAAUACCGCAUAACGUCGCAAGACCAAAGAGGGGGACCUUCGGGCCUCUUGCCAUCGGAUGUGCCCAGAUGGGAUUAGCUAGUAGGUGGGGUAACGGCUCACCUAGGCGACGAGCCCUAGCUGGUCUGAGAGGAUGACCAGCCACACUGGAACUGAGACACGGUCCAGACUCCUACGGGAGGCAGCAGUGGGGAAUAUUGCACAAUGGGCGCAAGCCUGAUGCAGCCAUGCCGCGUGUAUGAAGAAGGCCUUCGGGUUGUAAAGUACUUUCAGCGGGGAGGAAGGGAGUAAAGUUAAUACCUUUGCUCAUUGACGUUACCCGCAGAAGAAGCACCGGCUAACUCCGUG